CCUACGGGGGGCAGCAGUAGGGAAUUUUCGUCAAUGGGCGCAAGCCUGAACGAGCAAUGCCGCGUGAAUGAGGAAGGUCUUCGGAUCGUAAAGUUCUGUUGAAGGGGAAAAAGAGCGGAGAGAGGAAAUGGUCUCCGAUUGAUAUUACCCUUCGAGGAAGUCACGGCUAACUACGUGCCAGCAGCCGCGGUAAUACGUAGGUGGCGAGCGUUAUCCGGAAUGAUUGGGCGUAAAGGGUGCGUAGGCGGCCUGCUAAGUCUGGAGUGAAAGGUACCGGCUCAACCGGUACAGGCUCUGGAAACUGGCGGGCUAAAGAGCAGGAGAGGGCGGUGGAACUCCAAGUGUAGCGGUGAAAUGCGUAGAUAUAUGGAAGGACACCAGUGGCGAAGGCGGCCGCCUGGCCUGUUGACUGACGCUGAGGCACGAAAGCGUGGGGAGCAAAUAGGAUUAGAUACCCCGGUAGUC
This 465-nucleotide ribosomal RNA is filed under the name uncultured bacterium. RNAcentral describes it as "partial 16S ribosomal RNA". It matches the Rfam family "Bacterial small subunit ribosomal RNA", at positions 338 to 795 of the family's 1533-position model. The record is from RNAcentral.